RNAcentral lists this ribosomal RNA (316 nucleotides) under Clostridioides difficile. RNAcentral's name for it is "partial 23S ribosomal RNA". It matches the Rfam family "Bacterial large subunit ribosomal RNA", at positions 2497 to 2819 of the family's 2925-position model. The record is from RNAcentral. Lineage: Bacteria; Bacillati; Bacillota; Clostridia; Peptostreptococcales; Peptostreptococcaceae.
AGUCCACAUCGACGGGGAUGGCCCCGUGUCGGCUCAUCCCAUCCUGGGGCUGUAGUAGGUCCCAAGGGUUGGGCUGUUCGCCCAUUAAAGUGCUACGCGAGCUGGGUUCAGAACGUCGUGAGACAGUUCGGUCCCUAUCCGUCGCCGGCGUAGGAAAUUUGCGAAGACCUGUCCUUAGUACGAGAGGACCGGGAUGGACGUACCUCUGGUGUACCAGUUGUCCUGCCAAGGGCAUGGCUGGGUAGCUAUGUACGGAAUGGAUAAGCGCUGAAAGCAUCUAAGCGCGAAGCCAACUUCAAGAUAAGAUUUCCCACCG